GUAGAUGUAUUAGAAAAGGAAUAGAGAAUGCUAAUGUUAGAGGGUCAGUUUUUUUAAUAAAUAAAAUGAAAACAAGUAGAUAGAAUAGAAAUAGAAUUGAGAGUUCUAGUGUUAGAAGGUCAACUUUCUUUAAUACA
Sinocyclocheilus grahami is the source of this 137-nucleotide long non-coding RNA. RefSeq lists it as uncharacterized. The transcript has 4 exons. The record is from RefSeq and is a predicted model, not a curated record. Lineage: Eukaryota; Metazoa; Chordata; Actinopteri; Cypriniformes; Cyprinidae.